This 391-nucleotide unclassified non-coding RNA is filed under the name soil metagenome. RNAcentral describes it as "partial contains 5.8S ribosomal RNA, internal transcribed spacer 2, and large subunit ribosomal RNA". The stretch from base 1 to 120 matches the Rfam family "5.8S ribosomal RNA", at positions 35 to 154 of the family's 154-position model. The record is from RNAcentral.
GAUGAAGAACGCAGUGAAAUGCGAUAAGUAAUGUGAAUUGCAGAAUUCAGUGAAUCAUCGAAUCUUUGAACGCACAUUGCGCCCGGCAGCAAUCUGCCGGGCAUGCCUGUCCGAGCGUCAUUUCUGCCCUCGAGCGCGGUUCGGCCCCCUCCCGGGGGGGCCGCGCCGCCGCCCGGUGUUGGGGCGCUGCGGGGCCCUAUCGUCUGGCCCCGCAGGCCCUGAAAUGAAGUGGCGGUCCCGCCGCGGCGCCCCCUGCGUAGUAAAGAGCAACCCUCACACCUCGCAUCGGGUCCCGGCGAUGGCCAGCCGUCGAACCUCAAACUUGCUGAUGGUUUGACCUCGGAUCAGGUAGGGCUACCCGCUGAACUUAAGCAUAUCAAUAAGCGGAGGA